This 520-nucleotide ribosomal RNA is filed under the name uncultured bacterium. RNAcentral's name for it is "bacterial SSU rRNA". It matches the Rfam family "Bacterial small subunit ribosomal RNA", at positions 10 to 518 of the family's 1533-position model. The record is from RNAcentral.
AGUUUGAUUAUGGCUCAGGAUGAACGCUGGCGGCGUGCUUAAUACAUGCAAGUCGAACGAAGCACUUUUGGACAGAUCCCCUCGGGGUGAAGAUGAUUGUGACUUAGUGGCGGACGGGUGAGUAACGCGUGGGGAACCUGCCUCGUGCUGGGGGAUAACAGUUAGAAAUGACUGCUAAUACCGCAUAAGCGCACAGUAAGGCAUCUUACAGUGUGAAAAGAUUUAUCGGCAUGAGAUGGACCCGCGUCUGAUUAGGUAGUUGGCGGGGUAACGGCCCACCAAGCCCGCGAUCAGUAGCCGACUUGAGAGAGUGAUCGGCCACAUUGGGACUGAGACACGGCCCAGACUCCUACGGGAGGCAGCAGGUAGGGAAUAUUGCACAAGUGGGGGGAAAAACCCCCUGAUGCAGCGACGCCGCGUGAGUGACGAAGUAUUUCGGUAACGUAAAACUCUAUCAGUAGGGAAGAUAAUGACGGUACCUGACUAAGAACGCCCCGGCUAACUACGUGCCAGCCGCCGC